GCUUUCCCUCCAGAGUGGAUCCUGAGUACGGCGGAACACGUGAAAUUCCGUCGGAAUCCGGGAGGACCAUCUCCCAAGGCUAAAUACUCCCUAGUGACCGAUAGGGAACCAGUACCGUGAGGGAAAGGUGAAAAGCACCCCGGAAGGGGAGUGAAACAGUUCCUGAAACCGUGUGCCUACAAGUAGUUAGAGCCCGUUAAUGGGUGAUAGCGUGCCUUUUGUAGAAUGAACC
Molecule: ribosomal RNA, 232 nt
Filed under: Listeria monocytogenes
Lineage: Bacteria; Bacillati; Bacillota; Bacilli; Caryophanales; Listeriaceae
Description: partial 23S ribosomal RNA
Rfam family: Bacterial large subunit ribosomal RNA
Source: RNAcentral